GCUGUUUCCUGAGAGGGAAUGCUGCACAGCUGCAUCUCACCCUUUGCCAUUAGCUGAGAAGUGGAAACUUUGUACUUGGGAAUGUGAGCUUCUUUGACAAAGGUGAUAAAAAGGUGAAGUUUAGACUUCAGUGACAGCAAGACUUCUUUGGGGCUGCUUCUGUUCCCAGCUGGGAGAACAAGUUCAAUUGUCUUCUGUGUGAGACACUGACAAGGCUAAUGAUGUUUUCAAACCUCCCAAAGGGACCAUGCUGUGCUGUUGAAAGUGGCAACUGGAGUAGCUUGAUCUUCUGUAUUACAGACUGUGCUAGCUUCUCACUGUAAGAUCACAAAAUCAAUCAAUACAGUGAAUGACUUCUUUGAGAUAAAUCAUGUGUGAAUAUUGCAUUUGGGUGAAGAAUGCACAAUAAAUUACCACUAGUAAAUAGUAGAAUUGCCAUCAAUGGAAGGUGAAAUUAGUUUAAUUUUCUUCAUACCACCCCAAUCUCUUUGGCAGGUACUAGGAUGACAACUAUUUUUUCAGCACUUUCUUUCAGAGGGGAUGAAAUUAUAGGAACUGUGCAUUAAUUAUUCCUGUUUUCCCUGUUCACUUUUAUACUCUCUAACUCUGAAAGGGUACAUAAGCUCUACAGAUAGAAGCUGCUUCUCUCUGCUCUUUACUUAUUUUCACAAUGUACUUAUAUUAUGCUCUGAGUGAGAGAGGGUCCUGUGGAGAAGAAUAGCCUGCAAUUGCAAUGAAAGCUGUUUUUGUUAUUGUCCCUGUUCUGCUGAGGUAGGUAGAUGUUAUCUUGAGUGUUCAGUUUAUUGCAUCUCAUUUUAACACUGUGAAAGGGGAUAGUUUCUAAGAGAGCUGCCAGCCAACCAGAAAAUCUCUUUAUAGAGGAUCCUAGACAAUCCAAUGGAUUUCUAUGAAGUAAAAGUCUGAUUAUUUAUUUCCUACAUGAAUAAAAUCUAAUGCAAGUGUGAAAAUGUUUUAGAUAAUAUCUGUCCUUUUUGAGUGGUUGUAAGGUUUAGCUUUGUAUAAAAAAUGCUUGCACUGCUUUAAAGAAGCUGGUGAUAGCUGCAUUCAGAUGAGGAAAAAUAACUUUUUAUCUUUGUGCAAAUGGUAAAUAUGUUUUUGGCAGCCUCUGUUUCUCAGGUGCUUGAGAGCCCACAGGAAUUUAGCAAGACUUGCAUGUAACAAAUCUAUUUUAACCCAUGACACAACAUUUGCACAAACUUGACUAUUCUACCCACGUUCUUCCUGCUGUAUCUGUGUUUUUUGGUGUGAGCUUCCCAACACAGUGAUUGGGAAUGCUGGCAGGGUUUCCUCUUGUGUGCCUGAAAUGGCUAAGAAAUCUCUUUCCUCUAUUAGAUACAGUUUACUAGUUGAAGAAAAAUGAAGAGGAUGUGUCUUUUAAGCUCAUUCAUCUUCACUAGUCUUGAAAGAUCCUUUUAAACUGUGGUGUUGGUCAUGCUUUUUAGUAACUGGGGCUCUCAACCAAAAGUAUUGUAUUGGUCAGGUACAGCAUUUUUAAGAGGACAACAUCAUAUAGUGCAAGAACAGUGUAGAUUAUUCAUUGUCAAAAUUAUGCAAACAAUGAA
This is a long non-coding RNA of Lagopus muta (rock ptarmigan), 1583 nucleotides long. RefSeq lists it as uncharacterized. The record is from RefSeq and is a predicted model, not a curated record. Lineage: Eukaryota; Metazoa; Chordata; Aves; Galliformes; Phasianidae. The transcript is spliced from 3 exons.